GGCGAGCAAAUCAAUCCAUUCGUGUUCAGGUGCGAUACCCGAGAGCGUUUUGAAAAUGACCGUGCACCUCACAAAUACCACAGAUUGCCAGCUGUGUGAAAACUACAAGGCGAUGGAGUUUCGUCGCGAUGACAGCCAUUCCACCUGGUGGGAAAUUGCAAGCAGCAGCGAGGCCCCGACGGCGAGUCACAGGGACUCUCCGUCACUGGAAGUAAGUGAGUCCAAAAAAAAAAUGAGACACAGCCACACCCAAACUUCACCAAUGACCCAGCGGCUCCAGGCAAAAUAGUCGGAUGAAUGGCAAGUUCGUUUUUUUAAACGCUUGAAUAUACACACACGCCACACGUAUGGAGCCGUUGAACAAAGCCCAUUUUGUCACUUGUAAGUUCUUCACUUCUUGUCUUUUGUGUCAUUUGGUUUACGUGCCCAUAGAGUCUUACACGUGUUGUCCAAUAGCAUCCUGAAUCUUCGUGUUCCGACGCAAUUU
This is a long non-coding RNA of Hippocampus comes (tiger tail seahorse), 487 nucleotides long. RefSeq lists it as uncharacterized. The record is from RefSeq and is a predicted model, not a curated record. The transcript is spliced from 3 exons. NCBI's taxonomy places the organism in Eukaryota, Metazoa, Chordata, Actinopteri, Syngnathiformes, Syngnathidae.